ACGCCUGGGGAAUGUGCCCUCUCACA
This 26-nucleotide non-coding RNA is filed under the name Homo sapiens (human). The record is from RNAcentral. Lineage: Eukaryota; Metazoa; Chordata; Mammalia; Primates; Hominidae.